RNAcentral lists this ribosomal RNA (256 nucleotides) under uncultured bacterium. RNAcentral describes it as "partial 16S ribosomal RNA". It matches the Rfam family "Bacterial small subunit ribosomal RNA", at positions 524 to 777 of the family's 1533-position model. The record is from RNAcentral.
UACGGGGGGAGCAAGCGUUGUUCGGAUUUACUGGGCGUAAAGGGCGCGUAGGCGGCCACCGCAAGUCGACUGUGAAAUCUCCGGGCUUAACCCGGAAAGGUCAGCCGAUACUGCGGGGCUAGAGUGCAGAAGGGGCAACUGGAAUUCUCGGUGUAGCGGUGAAAUGCGUAGAUAUCGAGAGGAACACCUGCGGCGAAGGCGGGUUGCUGGGCUGACACUGACGCUGACAGCGCGAAAGCUAGGGGAGCGAACGGGG